UUGACUGGGAUCGCACAAGCCGGCGGCUCCCGGGGAGCUCCCCAGAGGGGCGCGGUGUGCCCGGGAGCGGUCACCGGGCACGAGAGUGGCGUUCGCGGGGACGGACCCGGCAGCGCCCGGCCCGGGUCACAGCGGGGGGGGCAGGGCCCGGCCCCCGGCCCCGGCGCCCCCCGGGCGGGGCCUCAGCAGGCCGCACCAGGCCCCGGUAGGCCGCAGGCCCCGCGCCCGUUGCCAUGGCAACGCGCCUCGCCCAGGUGCGGGGCCCCCCGGGAGGGGCCGCUCAGCAUCACGGGACAGCGAGUCCGCAACCGCCUCGCCUUCAUCCCCGCGCCGCGGCAGCGGACUACAACUCCCACAACCCCCUGGGGGCAGCGCAGCCCCCUCCCCUUCCUCUCCGCCCCUCGCUCCCAUUGGCUCCGCCGCGACGCCGAGCGGCCGCACGGCGCCCUCCGAUUGGCGGCAGCGCGGCGGGGCCGAGGCGCUGCCUAUGGCGGCCGGGCGGGCGGUGGGGGGGGGAGCGCGGCCGCCAUUUUGUGUGCGCGGAGGCCGGCGCCGGGUCCUCGGUGCCCGCCGCGGCGGGGCCGAUGGACCAAAAGCUGCCAGCUUUUUGGAAGGCUGUUGGGCACUGGCCUCAUCAGUGAGCGCUGUAAAAACUCUUCCUUGUACUGGGUUAACUCCCUGUUACACAGCUUCUCCUUUAAAAAGAAAUACUGCUUAUAUUGCAGUACAACACGAUCGUUGGGAUAUCCAGAACAGCUGUGUAAGUACUGCUGUAGCUUAAAGCUACAGAAAUUCAAUGAAACUGGUGCAAGGGAAGCCUUGGGCAGGGUAACGCUGUGUUGCUGGCACUGUACCCAUGUGUGGUAAACUGUGAGACGUCAAGCAGCAGGGCUUAAUGGGCAGCUUAAGGCAGAUUGCAGCACUACAGGUGAUCCCAAAGUCAAGCCGGAAUGAAAAAGGCGAGGACCGGCCUUUGGGCAGCAGGGGAACGGCGGCGGGGAAUCGUCCCUCCCUUCGCUGCGGGCCGGUGCUGGAGGAAGGUUGCUCAGCACCUCCUCUUCUGCUGGUGUUACAGGGCAGGAUCUGGGUUUCGCUUCGCAUGAACGUUGGCUGUUGCAUGGUGAGCACGCUGUUGGGUCGGACUGCUUCCUUUUUUGUCUUCUUGCAGCGUUUUCAGGGAACUGGUCUGCUGUCACACUGAAGAACGGCUGUGACUGAAGGUGGGAUAUUUCAGUCCCCUUCUGUGGUUGUGCCUUAGCGCAAUAAUUUCUGCCUGUUCCAGCUGGGGUGGGGAGAACCACAGGCCUUUCCUCAGCGAGUUGGAAAACCCUCGCGAGGGAGGAACGGUGAAAGACCUUUAGCCAAGAGGUCCUUGCACGGCCGCGUUUCUGAGGUUCUGCAGCGCUGACGAACCGCCCCGCAGCUGGCACAGCAGCAGCAGGCGGGGCAGCAGUGAGCCCCAGAGCCGUGACGGGCAGGAGCCCCAGCAUGGCAGGUUUCUGCCGCCACCAGCUCCGCGCCGACGUGCAGCCCAUUAGGAGCGAUGUAAGUGAAGCUGCGGAGGCAGCAACAUUCCUGGGCAGCACAGCUCACUGCUUGAGCAGCACACUUGAUCUCAGCUCACCCAAGGAGCCGGAAUAAAGGCCAGCUGGCUCCUGCAGCCCAGGAAGGACCAAGCGGUGGUAGCAAGAGGAGGGAUAUACUUCAAAGCUUUGGCAAACGCGGCUGCUUCGCCCUCCAGGGAGGUGCUUGCCCUCGACUAGUUAAGACAGCACUGCCUUAUUGUCAGGAGGGACUAAUUGCUGCCCUUUGAUACCACAUCACUGCCAGUGCUGCAGCACGAUUAGCUUUGCCGAGCUCUAAGAUUUUAUUUGUUCCUCUCAAACAAUCUUGUCACCUCCGCACCGGCUCCGAGCUCUCCCCUGGGCCAGGGCAGCUGGUGGAAGUGGGACGAGCUCCCGUCCGUCACCGGUCCGCAGGGAGGCUUCAGAGGCCCCCAGGUGCAGUAGUUCUGUGUCUGCUGCGAGGGACAAAUGCAGGAGCUGGAGCAAGCCCCUGUAAGGAGGCACGCUGCUCCAAACGCCUUCUGAAAUGGGGAUCUGCCUGAUACAUGUUAAGACAUCAUUAAACCAGAACACAGCAUGGCUGUAGAAUCAGAGUCGAUCCCUGCGGUGGGAGCAGUGGUGCUGCGGGCGCGGGGGCACUCCCCUCACUUUCCUAAGUCCCAUCAGGUAAAGUAUUUGCAGGUUGGACAAAAACUUGUUCCUCUGCAUGAAACGUAACAAAAGUUGGGGGUAAGUGGAUGGAGGGCAGAGGGUCUGGGUUCCUGAACUUCAAUGCAGAUGUCACCUUGUAACUGUUGCUGCUACAUGUGACUAACGCCGUUUCCUUGUGCUAAGUUUUUCACCUUAGCCAGGUGCUCAGCUCCGUGCUGGGGCAGUUUGGUGCUGCCUCCAAGCGCGAUGCCUCCUGCCGGACUCGGUGCUGUCGGGCACUGCCCUGCCCCAGAAGAACACGGGACUGCCCCUCACAGCACAAUUACUGAGAGGAUAAAAUCUUAUCUGGACAACUCCAGGUGCUGGACAGAAGAGCCCGGGAUGAAGGACGGGGGCUCACCAGCUGCUGUUUCUCUUCCCGAGUGAUGGAUCUCUUCCUAAUGAGCAGGAUCCUGAUUAACUCAUUGCCUCUCACAGCACCUCACCCUGGUCUGACUCCAGGAGUGGUGGCGGAGCCUUGCGAGCGCCCGGCUCCCUCCCGCAGCCAGCGCUGCUGCACCGGUGCUGGCUCUGCCCAAUGAUGUCAUAGCAGAGGGAAGGGAAAAAAGGCGACUGCGAGGCUCCUGAGCAAGUAAACCUCC
Molecule: long non-coding RNA, 2857 nt
Filed under: Cairina moschata (Muscovy duck)
Lineage: Eukaryota; Metazoa; Chordata; Aves; Anseriformes; Anatidae
Description: domestica (muscovy Duck (domestic type)) lncRNA (ENSCMMG00000013638.1)
Source: RNAcentral